UUUGUUCUAUAAGUCAUAACGACUCUCGGCAACGGAUAUCUCGGCUCUCGCAUCGAUGAAGAACGUAGCGAAAUGCGAUACGUGGUGUGAAUUGCAGAAUUCCGUGAACCAUCGAGUUUUUGAACGCAAGUUGCGCCCAAAGCCAUUCGGCCGA
RNAcentral lists this ribosomal RNA (154 nucleotides) under Pilea plataniflora. RNAcentral's name for it is "5.8S ribosomal RNA". The stretch from base 21 to 154 matches the Rfam family "5.8S ribosomal RNA", at positions 1 to 132 of the family's 154-position model. From Rfam's summary of the family: 5.8S ribosomal RNA (5.8S rRNA) is a component of the large subunit of the eukaryotic ribosome. It is transcribed by RNA polymerase I as part of the 45S precursor that also contains 18S and 28S rRNA. Functionally, it is thought that 5.8S rRNA may be involved in ribosome translocation. The record is from RNAcentral. Lineage: Eukaryota; Viridiplantae; Streptophyta; Magnoliopsida; Rosales; Urticaceae. RNAcentral also lists the same sequence under 2 other names.